RNAcentral lists this ribosomal RNA (479 nucleotides) under Salinivibrio sp. HPB14. RNAcentral's name for it is "bacterial SSU rRNA". It matches the Rfam family "Bacterial small subunit ribosomal RNA", at positions 57 to 516 of the family's 1533-position model. The record is from RNAcentral. Lineage: Bacteria; Pseudomonadati; Pseudomonadota; Gammaproteobacteria; Vibrionales; Vibrionaceae.
GCAGUCGAGCGGAACGGCAGUAUUGAAGCUUCGGUGGAGAUACUGGACUUCGAGCGGCGGACGGGUGAGUAACGGCUGGGAACCUGCCCUGACGAGGGGGAUAACCGUUGGAAACGACGGCUAAUACCGCAUAAUGUCUACGGACCAAAGGUGGCCACUACAUGUAAGCUAUCGCGUUGGGAUGGGCCCAGUUAGGAUUAGCUAGUUGGUAAGGUAAUGGCUUACCAAGGCAACGAUCCUUAGCUGGUUUGAGAGGAUGAUCAGCCACACUGGGACUGAGACACGGCCCAGACUCCUACGGGAGGCAGCAGUGGGGAAUAUUGCACAAUGGGGGAGACCCUGAUGCAGCCAUGCCGCGUGUGUGAAGAAGGCCUUCGGGUUGUAAAGCACUUUCAGCAAUGAGGAAGGUCGUGUACUUAAUACGUGCACGGCUUGACGUUAGCUGCAUUGAAGCACCGGCUAACUCCGUGCCAGCAGCC